CGGACGGGUGAGUAACGCGUGAGAAUCUGCCUUUAGGUCCGGGACAACCACUGGAAACGGUGGCUAAUACCGGAUGUGCCGCAACGUGAAAGGGGAAACCCGCCUGAAGAUGAGCUCGCGUCUGAUUAGCUAGUUGGUGAGGUAAAGGCUCACCAAGGCGACGAUCAGUAGCUGGUCUGAGAGGAUGACCAGCCACACUGGGACUGAGACACGGCCCAGACUCCUACGGGAGGCAGCAGUGGGGAAUUUUCCGCAAUGGGCGAAAGCCUGACGGAGCAAGACCGCGUGAGGGAAGAAGGCUCUUGGGUCGUAAACCUCUUUUGUCAGGGAAGAACACAAUGACGGUACCUGACGAAUAAGCCUCGGCUAACUCCGUGCCAGCAGCCGCGGUAAUACGGAGGAGGCAAGCGUUAUCCGGAAUUAUUGGGCGUAAAGCGUCCGUAGGUGGCUAGUCAAGUCUGCGGUCAAAGACUGGGGCUUAACCCUGGAAAGGCCGUGGAAACUGACGAGCUAGAGUGCAGUAGGGGUAGAGGGAAUUCCCGGUGUAGCGGUGAAAUGCGUAGAGCUCGGGAAGAACAUCGGUGGCGAAAGCGCUCUACUGGACUGCAACUGACACUCAGGGACGAAAGCUAGGGGAGCGAAUGGGAUUAGAUACCCCAGUAGUC
RNAcentral lists this ribosomal RNA (665 nucleotides) under uncultured bacterium. RNAcentral describes it as "bacterial SSU rRNA". It matches the Rfam family "Bacterial small subunit ribosomal RNA", at positions 99 to 795 of the family's 1533-position model. The record is from RNAcentral.